UGCAUUUUUGUUGGUGAUUCUGCUGUUUAAAAUGCUCCCCCCUCGCCCCGCAAAGAACUGAAGCACUAUUCAGUGUUAAGUGCAAGACGGCUGCAAGGUGCCCAAGGGAGAAACACGUGUAUGAGAGAGAGAAGCUUCGUUCAGGCGUGACUGUGAGCUCUGAGUUCAGUGUUAAGGACUUAGUACCAAGUAAGGUAUCUUCACACAGAAACACACAGAAAACAAGGUGAUAUACUGACUGAUUGAUGGAAAUGUGACCUGAGACUCACAGGAGUCCACCUCUGUCCCUCCCUUCCAAGUGACGGUUGAGCGGUCAGCGUCUGCAGCUAACUCAGCGUUCACCCAGACCUGACGACUUCCCGGGACAGGACUACUGCACCACCCUUGUACAACACAGGGGAAAAUGUACAAGCCACCCCAUGAGCCUGGGGUCCUGCCACAUGGAGACCACAUGAGGCCAGCCGCCCCCGACAGAAGUGCUCUUGUGCCUUCUCCUCUGACCUGAGGUUGAAGAGAAUGGAAACAAAACUACUAGCUCUGGACACGGUUAGACAAGGCUGAGCUAGCUCCCAGCGCGAGUGGGAGAUGCCAAUGUUAAUAAAAUGUCACCUCAAUUACUUUUGCCAGCGUUAUAAAAAGAAACUGGAGACUUCCUCCCUUGGGCAUCUUCUGUUAAUUGCCAUUUAUAAAAGUUCUGUUUGCUAGGCCUGGAAUAUGCAUUAUUUUCCCUUUGAAAACAAAAAGAAACUUCUAAAAUAUCAAUCAGCAUUCCAAAUGGCAAAGUGAUUUGUUUUCCAACUCACACUCUCGGAUCAGCUUGCGAGUCUGUCUGAAACGCAGGCAUCUGGUAACAAUUUGUGACAAUAUAAAAUCAAAGCUGAACUCCCGUGUAAA
This is a long non-coding RNA of Mustela erminea (ermine), 894 nucleotides long. RefSeq lists it as uncharacterized. Lineage: Eukaryota; Metazoa; Chordata; Mammalia; Carnivora; Mustelidae. The record is from RefSeq and is a predicted model, not a curated record. The transcript has 2 exons.